CGUGUAGGCGGGAAGGAAAGUCAGAUGUGAAAUCCCCAGGCUCAACCUGGGAACUGCAUUUGAAACUCCCUUUCUUGAGUAUCGGAGAGGAAAGCGGAAUUCCUGGUGUAGAGGUGAAAUUCGUAGAUAUCAGGAGGAACACCAGCGGCGAAGGCGGCUUUCUGGACGAUAACUGACGCUGAGACGCGAAAGCGUGGGGAGCAAACA
RNAcentral lists this ribosomal RNA (207 nucleotides) under uncultured bacterium. RNAcentral's name for it is "partial 16S ribosomal RNA". It matches the Rfam family "Bacterial small subunit ribosomal RNA", at positions 568 to 774 of the family's 1533-position model. The record is from RNAcentral.